ACAAGUACCGUGAGGGAAAGUUGCAAAGCACUUUGAAGAGAGAGUUAAAGAGGACGUGAAACCGAUGAGGUGGAAACGGACAGAGCCGGCGUAUCUGGUCCGCAUUCACCCGUUGGGUGCUGUUCGUUGGGCUGCCCAGCUCCAGACUGGGUUGGCUGUCCAUCUGUUCAGCGCCUGAUGGGGCAUUUGCGGGCGGAGUGCGCUGAGAUGCUCGGGGCAGCGGUGUGAGCUUGGCUUUGAGGCCAGCCUUUUCGGGGUCUGGUACCCGGGUCGGGGGAGUGCUGUUUGUCCUGAGUGCCGUGUGAGCACAAUGGUCACGGGUCCGUGUUGGUCCGAGCUGACGGUCGGUGGCGGUCGCAUGCGACACGUAUCGGCAGCUAGUUCGGUCCAGCUCGGGCUCUCGUUUGUGUGUGUUCUCGGUGUAAAAGCCGGUCAUCUGUCCGACCCGUCUUGAAACACGGACCAAGGAGUUUAGCGUAUGCGCGAGUCAUUGGGUGUUCAAAACUCAAAGGCGUAAUGAAAGUGAAGGCGUCCUUGCGGAGCUGAUGUGUGAUCCCGGGCACUGAGGUGCUUGGGCGCAACAUAGUCCCGUCUCGAUUGCAUGCAAUGGGGCGGAGACAGAGCGUAUGCGCUGAGACCCGAAAGAUGGUGAACUAUUCCUGAGCAGGAUGAAGCCAGAGGAAACUCUGGUGGAAGUCCGAAGCGAUUCUGACGUGCAAAUCGAUCGUCUGACUUGGGUAUAGGGGCGAAAGACUAAUCGAACCAUCUAGUAGCUGGUUCCUUCGCA
RNAcentral lists this ribosomal RNA (787 nucleotides) under Heterodera fengi. RNAcentral describes it as "eukaryotic LSU rRNA". It matches the Rfam family "Eukaryotic large subunit ribosomal RNA", at positions 344 to 964 of the family's 3401-position model. Lineage: Eukaryota; Metazoa; Nematoda; Chromadorea; Rhabditida; Heteroderidae. The record is from RNAcentral.